AUGGAGCUGGUGGAUGGACGGAGCUUGCUAGGACGAUGCCCGUCUUCUUCUUCAUCAAGUCGGUGCCAUGGAGGACAAAGGCAUGGAGGUUCGCGAGGAUGCCGCCGUCUACAUUUUUUUUUCCCGGCGCAUGAGACAAAUCCACACUCCUUAUCUUCCCUUCUCACUGGAGUGAAAAAAAGACUUUUCUCGUGUCAAACAUGGGCUUGUGAGGCCGGGGCCUCCCCCGCUGCAACUGCUUUGGUGCACCUGUCCUCCGAUGAUCAAUCCUCUGAGGCCACCAAGGAUGGGGCUGUGGAAGAAUCCUCUGCCCCGCGGCAGAGGGAGCUCCUCCGCGACUUUCCUGACGAUGAUGCUAACGAGCCUCCGGUGGUGGAGGUGCCACGCCCUGCUGGAGUCACCACGAGAUCUCGGGUGUCCUCUUUGAAGCAGCCCAAGCGGGCGGCCACAAAGAAGGGCAGGACCGCGUUGAUUCCUUCGGGCAGUGCUCCGCCUUCACCGACAACAUUCCGGGCGGCACCAACCGCAAGUUCUCCCGCUCUCAAGAGCUCAGCACUAGCUGCUCCGCCCCAACGCCUGCUCCUGAGCAUGAAGAGGAGCUAUACCUUCGCUGGCCAGCAGCAGCCGUUGAAGAAGCAGAAGGAGGGCACGGAGGUUGCCGUGGCCACAGGCACUGAAGUGGCCGCCGCGACCCUGGCAAAGGAGAAUGCCACGGCCCCCGCAGCUCUGGUGAUGAUGUCAUCUCCUGCGGCCAUGGAAGCCCAUCCUCAGGAGGUGCCGGCGCCUUUGGCAGGCCUGACCCCUCCGGCGCCCGGCCUUGCUGCGGCCACUGAAGUCGCCCAGCCUCCAGAGCCCCCGGUUCUUCCUGAGGCUGAGGUUUCUUCUGUCCUGGCGGCGAGAGUGUCUCCUCCCCUGCCCAGCGUGUUGGCGAGCCGUGGCGCUCCUGCUACCUCUGGGGCCCUGGAGGAGGCAAGGGCGGUGCUGGACCUCCUCCAGGGUGAACUUCGGGGCCCGGAUCAGCGCUCAGCGCAGGGACGCCUGGGGCUAGUUUCUGGUUGGUUCCAGGCCGACGCGUUUGUCCGUGCGGCCUUGGGCUCUGCGGAGGAAGCCCAGAAGGUGCUCGGGGUGACCGCCACGAAGCGCGACCUGGCACGGAAGGAGGCCACAGAAGCUAGGGUCGGUGCCGCAUGGUGGAGACUGAACUAA
Molecule: ribosomal RNA, 1206 nt
Filed under: Triticum aestivum (bread wheat)
Lineage: Eukaryota; Viridiplantae; Streptophyta; Magnoliopsida; Poales; Poaceae
Description: partial small subunit ribosomal RNA
Source: RNAcentral